Rhododendron vialii is the source of this 678-nucleotide long non-coding RNA. RefSeq lists it as uncharacterized. The record is from RefSeq and is a predicted model, not a curated record. NCBI's taxonomy places the organism in Eukaryota, Viridiplantae, Streptophyta, Magnoliopsida, Ericales, Ericaceae. The transcript has 2 exons.
UGCCUCAGUUUCUUCAUUCUCUCAUUCCUCUCUCUCUCUCUCUCUCUCCCUCUCUCUCUCUCUCUCUCCAAGAUAGUGUGCUUUUUCCAAUGGGAGAAAGAGAAAAGCUUUCACAGCAGAAAGCCGGACAGAAUUUUCCACAAGGUCUCUUUCAACAAAGCAAUGGACAGCAAGAGAUCUCGGGCAAUCGGAGCACCAUCACCGAAGAUUUUCCAUUUGGAGGUGGGCCCCACACCCUGACGGCGGCUUGUUGAAGCAUUGGUGCUAUCCUACCUGAGCUUUUCUCCACAACCUCUCCUCCUUCGUUCUAAUUUUUAUUUUUGUUUCCUUCCCUUUGACUCGUUGCUUUUUGUUUUCCUUUGUGUCAAGUGUGUUCUUGACCUUGUAAGGCCUUUUCUUGACCUUGUAAGACCCCGUUCCAUUUCUUCCGUCUCUUUUCAUUGUUUUGUCACAAGUCUUAUAUCGGAAAUGUCUGAUAUAAGAUUUGUUCAUCGUCUUUCCCCAUUCCCGCCCAACUCACGUUCUCCUUCCUUGUCUAUCCCUCCUGAGCUAUUCAAAUUAGACUUUAUUAGCGUCUCUCCAAAUUUAAUUAGCAUAUCAUAUUUUCCCUUCAAUUUGAUGUAAAAUUUACCAUGAAGUAAUUUCUUAAUUAAGUUGUCUCUAGUUUUGUAGAGAGUA